UGUCCAUGGGAUGCUCCAGGCAAGAAUACUGGAGUGGACUGCCAUUCCUUUCUCCAGAGGAUUUUCCCGACCCAGGGAUCGAACUCAGAUCUCCUGCAUUGCAGGCAGACUCUUUAUCAUUUGAACUACAGGGAAGUCCUUCCCUACCUU
Molecule: long non-coding RNA, 150 nt
Organism: Cervus elaphus (red deer)
Lineage: Eukaryota; Metazoa; Chordata; Mammalia; Artiodactyla; Cervidae
Exons: 3
Source: RefSeq, a predicted model, not a curated record